CGUAGGUGGCAAGCGUUGUCCGGAUUUAUUGGGUUUAAAGGGUGCGUAGGCGGCCUGUAAGCCAGUGGUGAAAUGCUCUAGCUUAACUAGAGAGGUGCCAAUGAUACUGCAGGGCUUGAGUACAGAUGAGGUAGGCGGAAUUGACGGUGUAGCGGUGAAAUGCAUAGAUAUCGUCAAGAACACCUAUAGCGAAGGCAGCUUACUGGGCUGUAACUGACGCUGAGGCACGAAAGUGUGGGGAUCAAACAGGAUUAGAUACCCUGGUAGUCCACACUGUAAACGUUGAUUACUCACUGUUUGCGAUACACAGCAAGCGGCUUAGCGAAAGCGAUAAGUAAUCCACCUGGGGAGUACGCCGGCAACGGUG
RNAcentral lists this ribosomal RNA (367 nucleotides) under uncultured organism. RNAcentral describes it as "bacterial SSU rRNA". It matches the Rfam family "Bacterial small subunit ribosomal RNA", at positions 526 to 896 of the family's 1533-position model. The record is from RNAcentral.